AGCCGGUACAUGCCAAGGUAUUGGGGCAGAAGAGUCUUGCCGUGACGCUCCACGAUAUACUGUAGGAAAAAAGGUAAUAUAGAAAACUUGUACGUUUUGGACUCGUAACAAAAUUUGGGCGGGCCAUAUAGCGCGCAUGGACAAGACCCGAUGGACGCGAAGAUUCCUCGAUUGGAGACCUCUAGACAGACAGAACAAAUGACUGCCGCGGCCAAGCAUGCAGAGAAAUGAAUGCUACGUAAAGAAAUUCCAUAGAAAGCUCCUCGAGAAAUAAUAAGUAGAGGCGUAGCGCAACAUAUUCAAGCGAACGUUUACGUCAUAGUACAAAAUUGUUUGCAGACUAAUAACACACAAUUAAAAUUCGCUUCCCUUCAAAACUUUGUAGAGUUGUACAAUACUUUUAUGUAUAGCAAUUUAUUUUUAAAAAUAAUGGUUACGCCCGUUCAUUAUUGUGUUAUUAAAUGACGCUAUAUCAUGUCAUUAGACUAGUUAAUUAGCUUAUUGAUAAGCCUCUAAAAUAUUCCUAUGCCUAAGAUUUCAACUUGUAUUAGUUGUAUAAAAUAAUAAUUGUUAAAUAUU
Pieris napi is the source of this 579-nucleotide long non-coding RNA. RefSeq lists it as uncharacterized. The record is from RefSeq and is a predicted model, not a curated record. NCBI's taxonomy places the organism in Eukaryota, Metazoa, Arthropoda, Insecta, Lepidoptera, Pieridae. The transcript is spliced from 3 exons.